Molecule: ribosomal RNA, 544 nt
Filed under: uncultured bacterium
Lineage: Bacteria
Description: partial 16S ribosomal RNA
Rfam family: Bacterial small subunit ribosomal RNA
Source: RNAcentral
UGGGGAAUAUUGCACAAUGGGCGAAAGCCUGAUGCAGCAACGCCGCGUGAGUGAUGAAGGCCUUCGGGUUGUAAAGCUCUGUCUUUUGGGACGAUAAUGACGGUACCAAAGGAGGAAGCCACGGCUAACUACGUGCCAGCAGCCGCGGUAAUACGUAGGUGGCAAGCGUUGUCCGGAUUUACUGGGCGUAAAGGAUGCGUAGGCGGAUUUUUAAGUGAGAUGUGAAAUACCCGGGCUUAACUUGGGUGCUGCAUUUCAAACUGGGAAUCUAGAGUGCGGGAGAGGAGAAUGGAAUUCCUAGUGUAGCGGUGAAAAUGCGUAGAGAUUAGGAAGAACACCAGUGGCGAAGGCGAUUCUCUGGACCGUAACUGACGCUGAGGCAUGAAAGCGUGGUAGCAAACAGGAUUAGAUACCCUGGUAGUCCACGCCGUAAACGAUGAGUACUAGGUGUAGGAGGUAUCGACCCUUCUGUGCCGCAGUUAACACAAUAAGUACUCCGCCUGGGAAGUACGAUCGCAAGAUUAAAAACUUAAAAUGAAUUGAC